UUAUGGCUCAGGAUGAACGCUAGCUACAGGCUUAACACAUGCAAGUCGAGGGGCAUCAGAUCGAAAGCUUGCUUUGAUGCUGGCGACCGGCGCACGGGUGAGUAACGCGUAUCCAACCUUCCCUAUAGUAGAGAAUAGCCCGGCGAAAGUCGGAUUAAUGCUCUAUGUUGUAUUUAGAAGACAUCUGAAGAAUACCAAAGGUUUACCGCUAUAGGAUGGGGAUGCGUCUGAUUAGGUAGUAGGCGGGGUAACGGCCCACCUAGCCGACGAUCAGUAGGGGUUCUGAGAGGAAGGUCCCCCACAUUGGAACUGAGACACGGUCCAAACUCCUACGGGAGGCAGCAGUGAGGAAUAUUGGUCAAUGGACGGAAGUCUGAACCAGCCAAGUAAGCGUGCAGGAUGACGGCCCUAUGGGUUGUAAACUGCUUUUAUAUAGGGAUAAAGUCGGGGACGUGUCCCCGUUUGUAGGUACUAUAUGAAUAAGGACCGGCUAAUUCCGUGCCAGCCGCCGC
Molecule: ribosomal RNA, 512 nt
Filed under: uncultured bacterium
Lineage: Bacteria
Description: bacterial SSU rRNA
Rfam family: Bacterial small subunit ribosomal RNA
Source: RNAcentral